UACGGAGGGGGCAAGCGUUAUUCGGAAUUAUUGGGCGUAAAGGGCGCGUAGGCGGCUAGAUGUGUCAAAGGUGAAAUCCCUCGGCUCAACUGAGGAACUGCCUUUGAAACUGUCUGGCUUGAGGCCGGGAGAGGGUAGCGGAAUUCCCAGUGUAGCGGUGAAAUGCGUAGAUAUCUGGAGGAACACCGGUGGCGAAGGCGGCAUCCUGGACCGACACUGACACUGAGGAGCGAAAGCCAGGGGAGCAAACGGG
Molecule: ribosomal RNA, 253 nt
Filed under: uncultured bacterium
Lineage: Bacteria
Description: partial 16S ribosomal RNA
Rfam family: Bacterial small subunit ribosomal RNA
Source: RNAcentral